Molecule: transfer RNA, 65 nt
Filed under: Parankylopteryx sp. YJ-2017
Lineage: Eukaryota; Metazoa; Arthropoda; Insecta; Neuroptera; Chrysopidae
Description: tRNA-Glu
Source: RNAcentral
AUUUAUAUAGUUUAAAUAAAACAUUAUAUUUUCAAUAUAAAAAUAAAAUUUUAUUUUUAUAAAUA